RNAcentral lists this ribosomal RNA (477 nucleotides) under uncultured bacterium. RNAcentral describes it as "partial 16S ribosomal RNA". It matches the Rfam family "Bacterial small subunit ribosomal RNA", at positions 28 to 506 of the family's 1533-position model. The record is from RNAcentral.
GAUGAACGCUGGCGGCGUGCUUAACACAUGCAAGUCGAACGGGAAUUCUUUUAUUGAACCUUCGGUCGAUUUAAUUUAAUUCUAGUGGCGGACGGGUGAGUAACGCGUGGGUAACCUGCCUUAUACAGGGGGAUAACAGUCAGAAAUGGCUGCUAAUACCGCAUAAGCGCACAGAGCUGCAUGGCUCAGUGUGAAAAACUCCGGUGGUAUAAGAUGGACCCGCGUUGGAUUAGCUGGUUGGUGGGGUAACGGCCCACCAAGGCGACGAUCCAUAGCCGGCCUGAGAGGGUGAACGGCCACAUUGGGACUGAGACACGGCCCAGACUCCUACGGGAGGCAGCAGUGGGGAAUAUUGCACAAUGGGGGAAACCCUGAUGCAGCGACGCCGCGUGAAGGAAGAAGUAUCUCGGUAUGUAAACUUCUAUCAGCAGGGAAGAUAGUGACGGUACCUGACUAAGAAACCCCGGCUAACUACGU